CCAAUAGCGUAUAUUAAAGUUGUUGCAGUUAAAAAGCUCGUAGUUGAACUUCGGAAACGGUGGGUUGGUCGUGCCUCCGGUACGUACUGGUCUUACCGGUUCCUCCCUUCUGACGAACCACGAUGCCAUUAAUUUGGUGUUGUGGGGAAUCAGGACUGUUACUUUGAAAAAAUUAGAGUGUUUAAAGCAGGCUAAAGCUUGAAUAGAUUAGCAUGGAAUAAUGAAAUAGGACGUUUGAUCUUAUUUUGUUGGUUUCUAAGAUCGACGUAAUGAUUAAUAGGGAUAGUUGGGGGCAUUAGUAUUCAAUUGUCAGAGGUGAAAUUCUUGGAUUUAUUGAAGACUAACUACUGCGAAAGCAUUUGCCAAGGAUGUUUUCAUUAAUCAAGAACGAAAGUUAGGGGAUCGAAGACGAUCAGAUACCGUCGUAGUCUUAACCAUAAACUAUGCCGACUAGGGAUCGGAUGAUGUUAAUUUUUUAAUGACUCAUUCGGCACCUUACG
This 500-nucleotide ribosomal RNA is filed under the name uncultured Glomeromycotina. Its description in RNAcentral is "partial small subunit ribosomal RNA". It matches the Rfam family "Eukaryotic small subunit ribosomal RNA", at positions 591 to 1092 of the family's 1831-position model. The record is from RNAcentral. Lineage: Eukaryota; Fungi; Glomeromycota.